AGGGUAAUAGUUAAUUAUAACAUUUAACUUGCACUUAAAAAAUAUUGAACUAUUCAAUUUACCUUA
Molecule: transfer RNA, 66 nt
Filed under: Polyphylla laticollis
Lineage: Eukaryota; Metazoa; Arthropoda; Insecta; Coleoptera; Scarabaeidae
Also listed under: 1 other name
Description: tRNA-Ala
Source: RNAcentral